Molecule: ribosomal RNA, 300 nt
Filed under: uncultured Bacillus sp.
Lineage: Bacteria; Bacillati; Bacillota; Bacilli; Caryophanales; Bacillaceae
Description: bacterial SSU rRNA
Rfam family: Bacterial small subunit ribosomal RNA
Source: RNAcentral
GCUAUCACAGUUACGGCGUCCGGUGUAAUACGGAGGUGGCAAGCGGUGGACGGAAUGAUUGGGCGUAAGGAGCUCGUAGGCGGUCUGUCGCGUCGGAUGUGAGAACCCAGGGCUCAACCCUGGGGCUGCAUUCGAUACGGGCAGGCUAGAAGUCGGUAGGGGAGUCUGGAAUUCCUGGUGUAGCGGUGAAAUGCGCAGAUAUCAGGAGGAACACCGGUGGCGAAGGCGGGACUCUGGGCCGAUAUUGACGCUGAGGAGCGAAAGCGUGGGGAGCGAACAGGAUUAGAUACCCGAGUAGUC